RNAcentral lists this ribosomal RNA (497 nucleotides) under uncultured bacterium. RNAcentral's name for it is "partial 16S ribosomal RNA". It matches the Rfam family "Bacterial small subunit ribosomal RNA", at positions 28 to 507 of the family's 1533-position model. The record is from RNAcentral.
GAUGAACGCUGGCGGCGUGCCUAAUACAUGCAAGUCGAGCGAACAGACGAGGAGCUUGCUCCUCGGAUGUUAGGGGCGGACGUGUGAGUAACACGUGGAUAACCUCCCUAUAAGACUGGUAUAACUUCGGGAAACCGGAGCUAAUAGCGUAUAACAUGUUGAACCGCAUGGUGCAACAGUGAAAGACGGUCUUGCUGGCACGUAUAGAGGGAUCCCCGCCGCAUUAGCUGGUUGGUAAGGUAACGGCUUAUCAAGGGAACGAGGCGUAGACGAGGUGAGUGAGUGAUCGCCCACCCUAGAGCUGGGACGCGGUCCAGAGUCCUGCGAGAGGCAGCAGUAGGGUAUCUUCCGCAGUAGGCGGAAACCUUGCGGAGCGGGCCCGAGUCAGUGACGGCGGUCUUCGGAUCGUGAAACUCUGUUAUUAGGGAAGAACCACUGUGUCAGUAAAUGUGCACGUAUUGACGGUACCUAAUCAGAAAGCCCCGGCUAACUACGUG